AAAGUCGUAACAAGGUUUCCGUAGGUGAACCUGCGGAAGGAUCAUUACAGAAUAAACCUGGCUUGGUUGUUGCUGGCUCUCUUGGGAGCAUGUGCACGCCGGUCACUUUUAUCUUACCACCUGUGAACACUUUGUAGAUCUGGAGGCAUCUUCACAGACUCUUUUGUCGGUGAGCUUUGGGAAGCUGUCGUGUUCGCUUCAUCGCGUCCGACUCUUCCUGGCCUUCAGGUUUAUGUCUUUACAUCUACACCAUAAGCAUGUAAACGAAUGAAUCAAUGGCAGCUUCAUUGCAGCCUAUAAAACUUAAACAACUUUCAGCAACGGAUCUCUUGGCUCUC
RNAcentral lists this unclassified non-coding RNA (338 nucleotides) under Basidiomycota sp. RNAcentral describes it as "partial contains small subunit ribosomal RNA, internal transcribed spacer 1, and 5.8S ribosomal RNA". The stretch from base 1 to 47 matches the Rfam family "Eukaryotic small subunit ribosomal RNA", at positions 1785 to 1831 of the family's 1831-position model. Lineage: Eukaryota; Fungi; Basidiomycota. The record is from RNAcentral.